Long non-coding RNA from Andrographis paniculata, 2272 nucleotides. RefSeq lists it as uncharacterized. Lineage: Eukaryota; Viridiplantae; Streptophyta; Magnoliopsida; Lamiales; Acanthaceae. The record is from RefSeq and is a predicted model, not a curated record. The transcript has 5 exons.
CUGUUCGAAACCGGUUAGGCAAGUUCCCGACUUCACAUUGCCUAUAAAAUAAAACGAAACCGGCACAGCGAAACCCUACUACGGAGGCGGCGCCGUUGCUUCUGACCACUUGGGAUCUGCUCUCCGGCGGAAUCUCUUGGCUGGAUCGUGUUUCUAUUCUUUCACUUUAACUCUCAUUGACGAUUAUAUCAACUGCUCUUUGUCAAUUAAGGCUUCUGCUUUGAGUGUCUUCCGAAAAUGGAGACUUUGGUUUGAAAUACUCUAGCGAAACUGAUGCCUUUGCAACAGAGUGAAUACCCGAGAGAGUGUUAACAGACGAUAUCUGAUGAAUGCUAUUAUUAGGAAUUUUGAUGAUAGUGAGGCAGCAAUAGAUGUAAUUGCUUUCAAUCUGACUGCUCAAUUGUGUUGUGGUCGGCACUGUUGGAUAAAAGCAAAUGGAUCUAAUAUACUCAAUUAAAAAGGUGAACUCAAUUACAUGUUUUCAAAACAUCAUUAUUUCAGACUAGCAAUCAUUCUUGUUGUGUGUGCUGAUGCUAAUCUAGCUCCAUUCAUACAUCAUUGACUGAUGCUUGGCCAUGAAGUCCUUGUGGUGUGCACAGUUAAUAUUUCUUUUUACCUAUAUUUAAUUAAGUUUAUAAGUUAAAAUUAUUUACUUAUGUCAAUUAUCAAACAAAAUUUGUUUAUUAUUUUCUUUAUGGAAAAAAUAAAUACAUACAUAUAAUUACUGGAACAAUUAUAAUUUCUAUAAGACAUAAGUUUGUGUUAUGGAGUAAGUACGGUAAUGUUUACACUAGAACGGGGAGAAGGAUUGUACUCACCUAGACUGAUUGCGGCGCAGGAUUAAACUAGAUCCGCUCAAGACUCAUAAUUCUAGAACUAAAUAGGAAAUAAAACAAUAAGAAUAAUAAGAAAUAAAAUAAAAAUUAAUGACGAAUUCUUCGAUCCUGUGCCACGAUCAAUCCUAGGUGAGUGCUAUCCUUCUUCUCUCUUCUAGUGUAGACAUGGCCUUGCUAACUCCAUAACAGUUUGCAUCAAGUAUCAAUGAUAUGUCACUACUGCUAUAAUCGUGGCUCUAGGAAUAAUGUUCGUCAUGAACACCAUGUGUCCAUUGGCAUCCAUAACUACAUGAGGAAAGAGUAAGGCAGAUCCUUUUAGCCAUUUGAAUUGCCCAGCUUGCUCGCUGUUGGUAGUCUAUGCCUGUGGCUUGGAUAUGACUGUCCCCUUGCUCAUCUGACCCUAUAAAGGAUGGAUGCACACACAAUUACUGCACAAAAUUUGAAUUGUCGUGUUUCGAACUUUUUUUUUUUGGUUACCUUAUACCCUAUGUAAGUACUGAACAUUUAGUUUGAUAGUGAGAGAAUUAUCGAAUCUAUCCACCACAAUCUCCAGGAUGAAAAAUUCAUUUUAGUUAAAUUGGUGGUAGGGUGAGAAAGGAAUAUGAUGAAUUGUGACAGGUACUGAUGACAGGCUAGAUUGUAGUCUUGGGUGCUUCUCCUGGUGCGUCCAACAGCUGUUGUGAAUGUGCCGAGCAUCUGAGCUGCAAAUAGUCGUGUGAUUACAUUCCUAACUUUAGCUGAUUCCUUUCCUUCCAAACUUUGAUUAAAUUUCAUUACCAGUCGGUUACAGGGCUUGAUGCGUGAAAGUACUGAAUGCAAGGGAUCGAAAUUCAUUUAGAAACGCAUUUUAUUUUCUCUUUCGCUAUUCUUUCCCCUUUAUCAUUUACUUAGCUGUUUUGUAGUCAUGGAUUGUGCCGUGUGCCACAUUGCUGGUCUUUUUUUGCACACUGACAUUAUGAAUUUCCAUUCUGUGGUUUGGAUUGGCUCAUGCAUUUCUUGAGCUGGAAAAUGAAAUAGGAAACAAUUGCUUGUGAAAUAGGAGCACAUCCGACAAUGCGGAAACAAGUGCUUGUGUACAGAGGAUCUUAUGAGUGCCACACUGCAAAUCCUCAAAGCUGUUUCAUUCGCAAUAGAACUCGGGGACAAGUGAAGAACAAAGCUUAGUUCGACUAUUCGGCCUUGACCAUUACCUAUGGUGCUCGGAUCAUCAGUCGAAGCUGAGUAGAGCCACAAGUCAUAAGCUUUGUGAUUUUAUUUUUGAAGUGAUUCAAUGGCGACAAGGACCGACUUCCUGGGGAUAUGCCUAGUCGGAAGCCUUCCCGUUCCAUGCAUUGGUCUAUUGGAAAGCCGGACACUCCGGAUCGCUCAUUUCACGAGAGUAGUACUAGGAUGGUUGAUUUCUUUGGUAAAUUCUUGUGUUCCAUUUUUUUUUUUUU